CGAACGGGUGAGUAACGCGUGAGGAGCCUGCCUCAAAGAGGGGGACAACAGUUGGAAACGACUGCUAAUACCGCAUAAGCCCACGGGUCGGCAUCGACCAGAGGGAAAAGGAGCAAUCCGCUUUGAGAUGGCCUCGCGUCCGAUUAGCUAGUUGGUGAGGUAAUGGCCCACCAAGGCAACGAUCGGUAGCCGGACUGAGAGGUUGAACGGCCACAUUGGGACUGAGACACGGCCCAGACUCCUACGGGAGGCAGCAUG
This 258-nucleotide ribosomal RNA is filed under the name uncultured bacterium. RNAcentral's name for it is "partial 16S ribosomal RNA". It matches the Rfam family "Bacterial small subunit ribosomal RNA", at positions 99 to 353 of the family's 1533-position model. The record is from RNAcentral.